UUAUCAAAAAAUGUGAGAGUGAAGGAGGUUUGAUUUGUAAUCUGGCAUUUGGGUGCCACUUUUAAGAAUCAACAUGCAAGGUCUGUGCAGGAGCUUAGAUUGGUUUUGUUUGUUUUUAAAGAUAUAUUUAACAGUUUAUCUCGGUGCACUAAGGAUAUAGCAAUUUUGAAAGACUUAAAAUUAAAAGCAAAAUUACAUUUUAAUUCUGACAUAUGCCAGCUAAAAUGAGGAUGGAAAAUAAAUACAUAAAUAAAUACUGGCUCAAAUGUGGCAUGUGUUGUAAAUUGGGCAAUGAGACAUUCACUUUCAAGCACUAUCCUUUAGCGCUGCUGACAACAACAACUUAUGAGAUGGUAAAUCAAGGAGGAGUGUCAUAUUUGGAACACAGGCGCUGUAUGACCUAUAGAUUGAACAAUAACAAUUGCCGCAAAUACAACCAUGUUGGUAGAAUGUUGAAUUACAUUACAGUUUAUUACAAAAGAUUUUUGAAUUUAAUUUGAUGAUAAACACUGGAAGUAAAAAAAAAAAAA
Syngnathus acus (greater pipefish) is the source of this 530-nucleotide long non-coding RNA. RefSeq lists it as uncharacterized. NCBI's taxonomy places the organism in Eukaryota, Metazoa, Chordata, Actinopteri, Syngnathiformes, Syngnathidae. The transcript has 2 exons. The record is from RefSeq and is a predicted model, not a curated record.